UACAGAGGUCUCAAGCGUUGUUCGGAUUCAUUGGGCGUAAAGGGCGCGUAGGUGGCCCGGUCAGUUCGUGGUGAAAGCGCGGGGCUCAACCCUGCGUCGGCCAUGAAUACUGCCGCGGCUGGAGCACUGUAGAGGCAGGCGGAAUUCCGGGUGUAGCGGUGGAAUGCGUAGAGAUCCGGAAGAACACCGGUGGCGAAGGCGGCCUGCUGGGCAGUUGCUGACACUGAGGCGCGACAGCGUGGGGAGCAAACAGG
This 254-nucleotide ribosomal RNA is filed under the name uncultured bacterium. Its description in RNAcentral is "partial 16S ribosomal RNA". It matches the Rfam family "Bacterial small subunit ribosomal RNA", at positions 524 to 776 of the family's 1533-position model. The record is from RNAcentral.